CUUGGUCAUUUAGAGGAAGUAAAAGUCGUAACAAGGUUUCCGUAGGUGAACCUGCGGAAGGAUCAUUACAGAGUUCAUGCCCUUCGGGGUAGACCUCCCACCCUAUGUAUACAUUGCCUUUGUUGCUUUGGCGGGCCGCCUUUUGGCCACCGGCUCCGGCUGGUGCGCGCCCGCCAGAGAAACCCAAACCCUGUCUUACAGUGUCGUCCGAGUACUAUAUAAUAGUUAAAACUUUCAACAACGGAUCUCUUGGUUCUGGCAUCGAUGAAGAACGCAGCGAAAUGCGAUAAUUAAUGUGAAUUGCAGAAUUUAGUGAAUCAUCGAAUCUUUGAACGCACAUUGCGCCCCUUGGUAUUCCGGGGGGCAUGCCUGUUCGAGCGUCAUUUCAACCCUCAAGCUCUGCUUGGUCUUGGGCCGCGCCGGCAACGGCGGGCCUCAAAAACAGUGGCGGCGCCAUCGUGUCCCUCAGCGUAGUAAUUCUUCUCGCUGUUGGGCCCCGGUGGCCGCUGGCCAGCAACCCCCAAUUUUUCUAUGGUUGACCUCGGAUCAGGUAGGGAUACCCGCUGAACUUAAGCAUAUCAAUAAGCGGAGGAAAAGAAACCAACAGGGAUUGCCUCAGUAACGGCGAGUGAAGCGGCAACAGCUCAAAUUUGAAAUCUGGCUCUUUUAGAGUCCGAGUUGUAAUUUGUAGAAGAUGCUUUGGGUGUGGCUCCGGUCUAAGUUCCUUGGAACAGGACGUCAUAGAGGGUGAGAAUCCCGUAUGUGACUGGCUGCCUCCGCCCGUGUAAAGCUCUUUCGACGAGUCGAGUUGUUUGGGAAU
This 820-nucleotide small RNA is filed under the name uncultured Helotiales. Its description in RNAcentral is "eukaryotic LSU rRNA". The stretch from base 537 to 820 matches the Rfam family "Eukaryotic large subunit ribosomal RNA", at positions 1 to 281 of the family's 3401-position model. The record is from RNAcentral. Lineage: Eukaryota; Fungi; Ascomycota; Leotiomycetes; Helotiales.